UGGGGAAUCUUGGACAAUGGGGGCAACCCUGAUCCAGCCAUGCCGCGUGAGCGAUGAAGGCCUUAGGGUUGUAAAGCUCUUUCAGCGGGGAAGAUAAUGACGGUACCCGCAGAAGAAGCCCCGGCUAACUCCGUGCCAGCAGCCGCGGUAAUACGGAGGGGGCUAGCGUUGUUCGGAAUUACUGGGCGUAAAGCGCACGUAGGCGGAUGUUUAAGUCGGGGGUGAAAUCCCGGGGCUCAACCCCGGAACUGCCUUCGAUACUGGACGUCUGGAGGUCGAGAGAGGUGAGUGGAAUUCCGAGUGUAGAGGUGAAAUUCGUAGAUAUUCGGAGGAACACCAGUGGCGAAGGCGGCUCACUGGCUCGAUACUGACGCUGAGGUGCGAAAGCGUGGGGAGCAAA
RNAcentral lists this ribosomal RNA (400 nucleotides) under uncultured bacterium. RNAcentral describes it as "bacterial SSU rRNA". It matches the Rfam family "Bacterial small subunit ribosomal RNA", at positions 355 to 772 of the family's 1533-position model. The record is from RNAcentral.